UACGGAGGGUGCAAGCGUUGUCCGGAAUCAUUGGGUGUAAAGGGUGCGCAGGCGGGCGCCUAGGGCGGAGGUGAAAUCUUGCCGCUUAACGGUAAAAUGGCCUCCGAUACUGGGUGUCUUGAAUCUUACAGAGGUCGGUGGAAUUCGUGGUGUAGCGGUGAAAUGCAUCGAUAUCACGAAGAACACCAGUGGCGAAGGCGGCCGGGUGGGUCAGAAUUGACGCUGAGGUACGAGAGCGUGGGGAGCGAACAGG
RNAcentral lists this unclassified non-coding RNA (253 nucleotides) under uncultured Bacteroidota bacterium. RNAcentral's name for it is "uncultured Bacteroidetes bacterium contains 16S-23S intergenic spacer region". It matches the Rfam family "Bacterial small subunit ribosomal RNA", at positions 524 to 776 of the family's 1533-position model. The record is from RNAcentral. Lineage: Bacteria; Pseudomonadati; Bacteroidota.